GGAGGCCUUUUCCCACAUUAAAAUGAGUCGAGAAGCAUGCAUACAUUUAGAGGGAAAAAUAAAUCAGCACGCUGCAUGGAAAUGUAGAGAGAAGUUUUAUUUGUGUCAAAAGAAAAGACUCUUUCGCAUUAAGAAAACAAACAAUGUGUGAAUGGCAUGUAUUUCUUCUAAACCUGUAGUUGAAAGGGAAAACAAGGAGUCUCAAUCGAGAUCUUCAAGUUGAGGCCCUCCAAACCAUAUCUCGACUUGACUUUGUGAUUGUGGAGAAUUAGUGCUAAGAAUGGAGUGAAUUCCUUGUAUCUAAUGAUUGCUGAAUAUUUCCUAUAUUCAAUGCAAUGGGUAUCAACUCUUUUCCUACCAGCCUUUUUGUACACUAAUUUUGUUUGUUUAUUUUGGAAUGACUAAGAGGAACAUGGUACAAUUGAAUGCUCAGCUAGUGUCGAUCUUUCUCUAAACUGAACUUGUAUUACUUUUAUAAUUUUACUAGAUGGCUAAAAUUCCAUUACUUAAUUGUACAACUAUAUUUAUUUUAGGUGAUGAUGAGCAUGAACUGAUAUGCUUGUUGUUGAUAUUGAAUACGAUGAAUGUAGACACUUGUUAAAUUUCAUAGCCCAA
Molecule: long non-coding RNA, 615 nt
Organism: Cryptomeria japonica (Japanese cedar)
Lineage: Eukaryota; Viridiplantae; Streptophyta; Pinopsida; Cupressales; Cupressaceae
Exons: 2
Source: RefSeq, a predicted model, not a curated record